ACGAACGCUGGCGGCGUGCUUCACACAUGCAAGUCGUACGGUAAGGCCCUUUCGGGGGUCCCCGAGUGGCGAACGGGUGAGUAACACGUGAGUAACCUGCCCACAACUUUGGGAUAACGCUAGGAAACUGGUGCUAAUACUGGAUAUGUGCUCCUGCUGCAUGGUGGGGGUUGGAAAGCUCCGGCGGUUGUGGAUGGACUCGCGGCCUAUCAGCUUGUUGGUGGGGUAGUGGCCUACCAAGGCGGCGACGGGUAGCCGGCCUGAGAGGGUGACCGGCCACAUUGGGACUGAGAUACGGCCCAGACUCCUACGGGAGGCAGCAGUGGGGAAUAUUGCACAAUGGGCGCAAGCCUGAUGCAGCAACGCCGCGUGCGGGAUGACGGCCUUCGGGCUGUAAACCGCUUUCAGCAGGGACGAAGCUUUUUGUGACGGUACCUGCAGAAGAAGCACCGGCUAACUACGUG
Molecule: ribosomal RNA, 464 nt
Filed under: uncultured bacterium
Lineage: Bacteria
Description: partial 16S ribosomal RNA
Rfam family: Bacterial small subunit ribosomal RNA
Source: RNAcentral